UUAGAGUUUGAUCCUGGCUCAGGAUGAACGCUAGCGGGAGGCUUAACACAUGCAAGUCGAACGGUAAGGUCCCUUCGGGGAUACACGAGUGGCGGACGGGUGCGUAACGCGUAUGGAACUUACCUUAUGCAGGGGGAUAGCCCAUGGAAACGUGGAUUAAUACCUCAUAUGCUGAACAUUCUGCAUGGGAUGAACAGGAAAGUUAUUUACGGCAUAAGAUAGUCAUGCGUCUGAUUAGCUGGAUGGUAAGGUAACGGCUUACCAUGGCGACGAUCAGUAGGGGUCCUGAGAGGGUACCCCCCCACACUGGUACUGAGACACGGACCAGACUCCUACGGGAGGCAGCAGUGAGGAAUAUUGGGCAAUGGACGCAAGUCUGACCCAGCCAUCCCGCGUGCAGGAAGACUGCCCUAUGGGUUGUAAACUGCUUUUCUACGCCAAGAAAGGUCUCUACGAGUAGGGAUUUGCCGGUAGCGUAGGAAUAAGCAUCGGCUAACUCCGUGCCAGCAGCCGCGGUAAUACGGAGGAUGCAAGCGUUAUCCGGAUUUAUUGGGUUUAAAGGGUGCGCAGGCGGAAGAUUAAGUCAGUGGUGAAAUACUGCCGCUUAACGGUAGGGUUGCCAAUGAUACUGGUUUUCUUGAGUAUGGUUGA
RNAcentral lists this ribosomal RNA (651 nucleotides) under uncultured bacterium. RNAcentral's name for it is "bacterial SSU rRNA". It matches the Rfam family "Bacterial small subunit ribosomal RNA", at positions 1 to 655 of the family's 1533-position model. The record is from RNAcentral.